Molecule: long non-coding RNA, 4325 nt
Filed under: Bos grunniens (domestic yak)
Lineage: Eukaryota; Metazoa; Chordata; Mammalia; Artiodactyla; Bovidae
Description: lncRNA (ENSBGRG00000006409.1)
Source: RNAcentral
AUGAUCUCCCAUCACAGAAUCACUGGUAUCCUCUUCUUUGUCCAUUCUUGGUGGGCAGUGAAACCAGCAGCAACGAAGAGAUCUAGCUCCUGUUCCAUCUCUCCUGUCCUUUACGAAUAUUGGAUUUCUGGGGUGGAAUUUUCUUUGUCAAAACAGGAGCCCAGGUAUGGGGGUGAGAGGAGUCAGAGAUAUCCAGAUUUUUUUUUUUUUUUUUUAUUUUAUUUUUUCUUUCUUCAAUUCCCAGUCUUCAAUCUAUCUUUGGUUUUGGAGGCAUGUAAGGAAAGUGGGGGGAGGAGACUGAGGAAGAAGCAAGUGGCUCCUAAGACACAACAAUACACAAACUGUCCAAUGGAAGAGCAGCCUUAAGGAAGUAGGAGACCGUCUAAGAGCUGCAAGCCAAGUUCUUUCUUCCAGUGCCUUAGGCAAUUCCAUGAGAGUCACACUGGAGCUCUAAGGAACCCUGUAGACUAUAAAUCAACAAGGGAUAUGACACUGGGGAAAGGGAUGAAACAGAAGAAAUCAGACAGUGAAGCCUGCCCUUCGCUUACUAAAAAGCACACUGUUUUUUAAAUUUAUUCAUUUAGUUAGUUAUUUUUGGCUCUGCUAGGUCUUUGUUGCUGUCUGUCAACUUUCUGUAGUUGCAGUGAGUGGAUGUUGUGAUGUUUGGGCUUCUCAUUGAGGUGGCCUCUCUGGUUGUGGAGCACCGGCUCUAGGGUGCACGGGCUUCAGUAAUUGUGGUGAAUUGGCUUAAUUGCUCCAAGACAUGUGGGAUCUUUCCAACCAGGGAUUGAACUGGUGUCCCUUGCAUUGGAAGGUGGAUUCUUAACCAGUUGAUCACCAGGAAAGCCCCCACGCUGUGUUUUUGAUGGACCAUAUUCUUCAGUAUAUUUGUGUAUGAGUUGUGUGUGUGUGUGUGUAUGUGUGUUUAUCACAGUACGGUUGGACAGUGGCUCUUUUUAGCAGAGGCUUAUGCAUUGUUCAGCUAAUGGAUCAAUACCCUGCAAGGGUUACAUCCUUACCGUGUAAUUCUAGGGUGGGUGGGAGCAAUCAAGUUGAAUUACUGACUUUGUGAGGAAAUGAAAAGUCAAACUGCUGACCAUGUGUAUUUUAUAUUAUUUAAUUAAAAGUAGAUAACAGUACUUGAAUGAACCACCAAUCAGAUAAAAAUGGCAGUAUUUUCUCAUAUUUAACACAUAUUUGACUUGUGUUUGUGUGACAAUUCACCAGAACAGGUCUAUGAUGUCUCCAAAUAGAAAAUCAGAAGUGUAAUUAAAAAAUACUGCAGGGGAGAGGCAAUAUUAACUCCAACCCUGAGCAAAGCUAAUCACAACUACAGUGCCAUCACUGUUAUUCCUAUUUAAUGAGACUCUCCUCUGCUUCUUUCUUUAACUUGAAAUAAGAAAGAAAUCAUCAGAAUUUUUGUUUUAAAUAUACCAUGCACCUUUUAUAGAAAUAAAGAAAAUAGAUGGAUUAUGAAUUUUAGGUGUCCAUUCCCCAUUUAUUUAUUCAUUUUAAUGAAGUUUCAUCUAAUAUCCAACAAUCAGUCAUUCAAAAUUGUAUGCCACAACAGAACUGAUAGUUUAUAGGACUCUCUAGAGAUCUUCGGCUUCAUCAGAUGAGCACUUGUGGGGAAUGUCCAUCUACUCUUUUUCAGUAUCACUGAAUCAUGUGGAGAAUAAUCCCAGUGAACUCAGUCUCUUCAGCACCCAUUCAAACAUGUCUGGUACAAUCAGAGCUUGGCAUCCUUAGACCCUGAUACAGUGCCACAGCUGAAGGUUCUAAGUCUCUGACCUUCCCUACCAGGCUCCACUGACUUUCAGACCAAAUGAAGAAGACUUUGGUGCAUUGUCUGCUUUUGAUCUUCAGUUAGUGGUUGAUUUAGUUACUUCAUCAACUUUUAUUUAGAGAUUUUCAUGAAAAUCUCUACUGUAUCUUGGUUCUUCUUUUGGAGGUUGAGAGCAAAGUACAUUAGUCUAUUCAAUGACAAACUAUUGAUAACUGUUGGAUAUUUCAAUUCCUUUUUCUGUUUUGGACUGAACAAGACUCCAAGAUGUUUCUGCAUCAGAAGCUAGUCUGAUAUUGCCAACUAGUCACACUUCCGUUAGUCCUUACAAUAAAUUUUCUACUCUUUAAAUUAAAAUUUACAUUUCUUAUCCUUUUUUGCCCCAAAUUAGGAGAUUGUUUGACUGAUUUUUACUUAAGGGUUCUCCUUGCCUCCAGGAUAGAGAUCUUGAUAUUUUAUCAAUGGAGAAGGUUUUCAAUUCAUAGGGGAAGGAGAAGUAUGGAGGUGGAUGAUUCUAAGUAGAAUAUAGCUCAUGUUCUUAUGUCCUGAGCAAGCCUGAUGCCAUCCUGCUACCAAUGAAAGGUGGGAACCAAGGAAGGAGAGUCCUGGGCCAAAUCAUCUGGGCAGACUGCUUAUUUGGGUCAGCAUUAAGAUUCAACUGGUUGUUGAAGAGGGUUGGGAAACUGGGGCUGUCAAGUGUGUAGAGCAUUUUGAGGAUGUUAACAGAAUGCUAGGGAGAGAGUUACGAACAUGGUGGAAGUGGGUUGGAGACAUGGUUCAGGAGAGAAGUUCAGAACUAAGACAAAUUGCUGAGUAUGGAGGAGAGAAUUCUCUUCGCCCCUGAACUACUGCCCAGGGGCAUUAAAAGAUGGGUCUUAAAGGAUUUUCAAAAGGUGUGGCAGGAAGUAGGAGGUUAAAACCAGGUCACCUGAGUAAAUGCUACUGUAGGAAAUAAAUAGAAACUUAGUCUGAAGACAAAGAACAAGGCCAGAAUUACUCUGGCUUAGACAUUCAUGGGCUAACAUUUUAGCAUCUCUAGCAUUGGUUUGCACCUCACAAUUGAUGGGAUCUUGCAUUUAAUAAAAUAUGGUCUAGUGUGAAUGGCAUGAAGGUAUGAGAAAGAGAUGAAUCUGUGACUACAAACAACCUUCAACAGAUGUGAGGGGCAAAGAUAUGUUUUCUGUUGCUUUUUAAGUGGAAAUAUUGUCAACACAAUCUUUUUGCCUUUUACUGUGGUUUUGCAAACGAAAUUUUGGAAUGUCUCACUUAGAUGCUGAAUCUCAGCUUCCUCCUUUUUGAUACUGCCACAUAUUCCUUCCUUCUCACUUUGAGUCCACUUUGACUUAUAUUAAGAGAAAAGUGGGGUUGCUAAGAGACUAGGUUAACUGUCAGUCCCUCAGAAAGGCCUUCCCAGACCACCCAACAAAUAACCACUCCCCUAUUCACUUUCUAUGGAUCACCUUAUUUUAUUCCUAUCAUAGCACUUACACUUUUCUGAUAGUUUCCUAUUAGUUCAUUGACUAAUUUUGUUUAUGGUCCACCUCCUCUGUUAGAAUGUAAGCUCAAUGAGCAUCAGGGUUUUGUUCACUAAGGUGCCCUCUGUGCUCAGAUUGAUGUCUGGCACAUAGCUGACUCUUUGUUGACAUGUGUGGAAUGAGUAAAUGCAUAUAUGAUCUUGAGAGGAGUUGAACUCUCCCCUGCGGACUUAGGGUUCCCUGGAGUAAAUCUAAAUAUAAUGAGCAUUAUAUCCAACUAAUGCAUUUUGUGGGUUCCUCUACAUUUCCCAUUUAUCUUUUAAUGAAGAAAAAAUUUAAGAACCAUGUGAUUGUGGAUUGUUAAGACAGCAACCCCUAAAAUAUAGCUUGCAAAUUUCCAGGAUCUUAAAUUAAAGCUUCCCCAUCUCCCUGUCUGGGCUUAUGCAUGCUGAUCCAGCUUCAAAUCAGCCAGUAUCUAUUAUUCACCCUAGAAUUAAAAAGCAAGAAAACAACCUUUCUUCUUGGAAACAGACAUUCAAAAGUUUUGGCCUUGUUAUGUUGGCUGUGGUCUUAGUGAUCCAUAUUUAUAUGUUUAUAAAGUAUCUCUCACAUGUUUAAAGUAUAUUAAUUGUUAAUAUUACAUUACUAGUUAUAAUUACUAAGGUUUUCACUUCAACAAAUUUAAACCAACUGAAAAUACUAUCAAAAGAAAUGAACCUACCUUCACAUACACACAAUUCUUAAAAUAGCUCACUUAUUGGAUAGAGAUGGAGAAUUUCUCCAUGUUAGGAGAAAUUGUGAAAAUGGACAUGAGUCAUGACUAAGUUUUAUGGAACUAAGUUAGUCAUGGAACUAAGUUUUAUGUUAAUCUCUUGAAUGAACAUCAGUCUCAGAAUGAAAUUAACCUCUUUGAUUUUAGCAGAUCAACUCACAUCAUGUACUCAUUCCAAGCUGAAAGCAAAAAUAGAAACAAAACUUAUUAACAUCUGAGUGUAUUUGAUGCAGAAUCAUCCCUGAAUCAUUAAGGAAUACCUCUUGCUAAAUUUAAAAACAGUUGGAAAGACAGG